GCCGAGAUGGUGGAAUUGGUAGACACAAGGGACUUAAAAUCCCUCGUCAGUUAAACGACGUGCCGGUUCGACUCCGGUUCUCGGCA
RNAcentral lists this transfer RNA (86 nucleotides) under Treponema sp. Its description in RNAcentral is "tRNA-Leu". It matches the Rfam family "tRNA". From Rfam's summary of the family: Transfer RNA (tRNA) molecules are approximately 80 nucleotides in length. Lineage: Bacteria; Pseudomonadati; Spirochaetota; Spirochaetia; Treponematales; Treponemataceae. The record is from RNAcentral.